CUACGUAGUGUCUAAAAGAGUCGUCUAAAAAAUUGUACAUUUUCCGACGUUACAUGAACGACUCUGACUGAUUUGUCAUUUGAGAGGCGGACUUUUUGACCAUUAAGUUAUAGCGUGUUUUAAACGAUUUUGAAUGAUAAUAAUACAUUGUGUUUGAACAAUCCUCAUAGAUCCAGGUUUUCGUAAAAUAAAAAGGAACCAAAGAACAUCCCUACACUUGAAAAUAGGAAAGUAAACAAAUAUAAAUAGAAAAGCUCGUUUCAAAUAAAAAUAAACUCCUGAAAAGUGACAUUAUAUUAUAUAAAAAAAUUGGGAAACAACAGAUGGUAAAAUCUUAAUCACUAUUUUAAAAAGACCAAAUAAACAAAAACCAAAAAGCGAUAAUGUCAACAAAGAAAACAAUAUGAGUUUGAUCUGAAAAUAAAGAUUAAGUGAUUGGGCAAGGUUAAUAGUUUAUAGAUAUAGGAAGAUGUGGUGUGAGUGCCAAUGAGACAACUCUCCAUUCAAAUAACAAUUUAUAAAAGUAA
RNAcentral lists this long non-coding RNA (527 nucleotides) under Mytilus galloprovincialis (Mediterranean mussel). The record is from RNAcentral. Lineage: Eukaryota; Metazoa; Mollusca; Bivalvia; Mytilida; Mytilidae.